Molecule: long non-coding RNA, 113 nt
Organism: Octopus sinensis (East Asian common octopus)
Lineage: Eukaryota; Metazoa; Mollusca; Cephalopoda; Octopoda; Octopodidae
Exons: 3
Source: RefSeq, a predicted model, not a curated record
UCUUUCAUCCUUUCAGGCUUGAUAAAUUAAGUACCAGUGAAACACUGGGGUCAAUGGAAUUGACUAGCCCUCUCACCUAAAAUUUCAAGCCUUGUGCCUAUAUUAGAAAGGAU